Molecule: ribosomal RNA, 314 nt
Filed under: uncultured methanogenic archaeon
Lineage: Archaea; Methanobacteriati; Methanobacteriota
Description: bacterial SSU rRNA
Rfam family: Archaeal small subunit ribosomal RNA
Source: RNAcentral
CCCUACGGGGCUGCAGCAGGCGCGAAAACUUUACAAUGCGGGAAACCGUGAUAAGGGGACACCGAGUGCCAGCAUCCUAUGCAUGGCUGUCCGUGGUGUGUAAAAUACACCUGAUAGCAAGGGCCGGGCAAGACCGGUGCCAGCCGCCGCGGUAACACCGGCGGCCCGAGUGGUAAUCGUGAUUAUUGGGUCUAAAGGGUCCGUAGCCGGUUUGGUCAGUCCUCCGGGAAAUCUGACAGCUUAACUGUUAGGCUUUCGGAGGAUACUGCCAGACUUGGAACCGGGAGAGGUAAGAGGUACUACAGGGGUAGGAG